RNAcentral lists this ribosomal RNA (480 nucleotides) under uncultured bacterium. RNAcentral describes it as "bacterial SSU rRNA". It matches the Rfam family "Bacterial small subunit ribosomal RNA", at positions 28 to 510 of the family's 1533-position model. The record is from RNAcentral.
GAUGAACGCUAGCGGCAGGCUUAACACAUGCAAGUCGAGGGGUAUUGGUUUUCGGACCAAGAGACCGGCGCACGGGUGCGUAACGCGUAUGCAAUCUACCUUUUGCAGAGGGAUAGCCCAGAGAAAUUUGGAUUAAUACCUCAUAGUAUAGUACUUUGGCAUCAAGGAACUAUUAAAGUCACAACGGCAAAAGAUGAGCAUGCGUCCCAUUAGCUAGUUGGUAAGGUAACGGCUUACCAAGGCUACGAUGGGUAGGGGUCCUGAGAGGGAGAUCCCCCACACUGGUACUGAGACACGGACCAGACUCCUACGGGAGGCAGCAGUGAGGAAUAUUGGACAAAUGGGCGCAAGCCUGAUCCAGCAUGCCGCGUGCAGGAUGACGGUCCUAUGGAUUGUAAACUGCUUUUAUACAGGAAGAAACACUCCGACGUGUCGGAGCUUGACGGUACUGUAAGAAUAAGGAUGGCUAACUCCGUGCCA